Molecule: unclassified non-coding RNA, 387 nt
Filed under: uncultured Pseudomonadota bacterium
Lineage: Bacteria; Pseudomonadati; Pseudomonadota
Description: uncultured proteobacterium contains 16S-23S intergenic spacer region
Source: RNAcentral
UCCUCGUUUAAGCGAGGCAGUCUGUCCAGAGUGCUUCCUUCUCUCGAAGGAGUGGCAACAGGACACAAGGGUUGCGCUCGUUGCGGGACUUAACCCAACAUCUCACGACACGAGCUGAUGACAGCCAUGCAGCACCUGUCUCCGGUCCAGCCGAACUGAAGGGCUCCAUCUCUGGUGCCCGCGACCGGGAUGUCAAACGCUGGUAAGGUUCUGCGCGUUGCUUCGAAUUAAACCACAUGCUCCACCGCUUGUGCAGGCCCCGUCAAUUUCUUUGAGUUUUAGUCUUGCGACCGUACUUCCCAGGCGGGGUGCUUAAUGCGUUAGCUACGGCACCACAGGGGUCAAAGCCCGUGACACCUAGCACCCAUCGUUUACAGCGUGGACUAC